UCAGAAAAUAGUAUAAAGAUUAUGUGAAUUUUGGGGAUUUAAGAUGAGAGAUCUUUUCUGAA
This 62-nucleotide transfer RNA is filed under the name Ornithodoros phacochoerus. RNAcentral describes it as "Ornithodoros sp. 3 BJM-2014 tRNA-Pro". Lineage: Eukaryota; Metazoa; Arthropoda; Arachnida; Ixodida; Argasidae. The record is from RNAcentral.